This 1098-nucleotide long non-coding RNA is filed under the name Phasianus colchicus (ring-necked pheasant). RNAcentral's name for it is "lncRNA (ENSPCLG00000006032.1)". The record is from RNAcentral. Lineage: Eukaryota; Metazoa; Chordata; Aves; Galliformes; Phasianidae.
AUGCGCUGCUCGCUCCACUGUGCCACCACGAUGCACGGAUCCUGCUGGUGCUUUUGGCAAGCCUGCAUGAAUAGACAACGCCCAAUGUAUGCUGCAGUCACAGCAGUUAUCACAGCUAUCACAAAUGGGAGCAGAGUCCUUCUCUGUGGGAAACACGAGCUGCUGAGGGUUUCGGUGCCCCUAAGGGUUACCAACACCCUGAGGAGCCUUGGGAUGGAUGCAGCUUCACUUGGUGCAGCUCAGAGGCAGCACAAUUUGGGUGUCUGCAUCAGCUGUGCUGACCUUCUCUCUCCACUGCAAACACUUUCCCUAUGCUUGACAUCACCUCCAGCCCUACAAUUGCUUGUUUUGUUUGCUGCCCAUUCUAUUAGCAGCUUGUUGGUGUCAGAAGCUCCAAAGAAAUCCUUUGUUUUAAUUACCCCAGGGAAACACCAUCACCUCGUACUGCUGCUGCAGCUCAGGGCACCUGAACUGACCCAUGCAGCUUUGUCAAUGGCAUUAAUCACACACAGCUCACCAGCUGGAGCCUUUCCAGUCCCACCUUUCCAGUCCCACUAUGCAGCAUGCAGCAUUUCUCCCAAGCUUUGCCAAACCCCUUUGCAAUCUGCCCUGGCUUCCUUUUGCCAAUCUGGAUCCAUCCCGUCAACCCAGGCUGCCUUCCCAGGAUCUGCUGCCAAAUUAUGUGUGUCCCAUAGGUAAACUUAUCUCACAGGUGGGUCUGAAAGUCCUGCAGAGGGGAUUCUGUCUGAUUGCAGCUGGGGAUGCUUCUCCCAGCCCCUGGUAAGGCUCAUUCCAAGCAUGGUGAGAAGGGUUGAAGCUGCACAAAAAGGGGUUCAGCUGCACAGAGCAGAGGUCUGCUUGCUAUUUCUUUCUUUCUUUCUUCUUCUUCUUUCUUUUUUUUUUGAGAAAGAAGUUCUGUGGCUCCCUCUCUAGAUGGAAAAAGGAAAGCAAAGUUCCACUCCUAUGGCCUGCUGAAGAGCUUGCUUACGAGGGGAAAUUAAUCCAAAAUUAACUAGUGGUGUGAAUUGCAAGUGGAUUAGUUAAAUUACAUUAAACGCAGGUCUGGAUACUUUCAUUUAAAAUUAAAGUGGCCUUAAU